AUGGUGCUGCCCAGGCUGCUGAAGCUGCUCAUGGCAUCAAUGUGGCUGGGAUCCAGUUUUGCCCAGAAGGUGACUCAGGCCCAGCCAGCCAUGUGGGUGCAGGAGAAGGAGGCUGUGAGCCUGCUCUGCUCCUAUGACACCAGUGAGACACGUUAUGGUCUCCUCUGGUACAAGCAGCCCAGCAGUGGGGAGAUGGUCUUCCUCAUCCUUCAGAACUCUUACAGCCAGCAAAAUGCCACUGAAGGUCGCUACUCAGUGAAUUUGCAGAAGGCAAGCAAAUCCAUCCAGCUUGUCAUCUCAGCCUCACAGCUGGGGGACUCAGCCGUGUAUUUCUGUGCACUGAGAGAGGGCACAGUGGGAGGACUGUUGGAGGGAGAUGCACAAAAACCCAGGGUCUGCCUGAGAUAGCCACCUGCUGUAGGGACCAACGCAGGGAGUGGGCACCCCAGACAGGAAGUGGCAGGGCUGUGUCAGCUCAUGUCUGGGGUUGGAGGGAAAACACUCACUCUGAGGAACCCCUCUCUAGGU
Ictidomys tridecemlineatus (thirteen-lined ground squirrel) is the source of this 528-nucleotide non-coding RNA. The record is from the annotation of a RefSeq genome assembly. Lineage: Eukaryota; Metazoa; Chordata; Mammalia; Rodentia; Sciuridae.